RNAcentral lists this ribosomal RNA (612 nucleotides) under uncultured Devriesia. Its description in RNAcentral is "partial 18S ribosomal RNA". The stretch from base 227 to 380 matches the Rfam family "5.8S ribosomal RNA". Lineage: Eukaryota; Fungi; Ascomycota; Dothideomycetes; Mycosphaerellales; Teratosphaeriaceae. The record is from RNAcentral.
UUCUAUCUUGGUCAUUUAGAGGAAGUAAAAGUCGUAACAAGGUCUCCGUAGGUGAACCUGCGGAGGGAUCAUUACGAGAGAUGGCGGGCCCCCCGGCCCCCGUCCCCAACCCUUUGUCCAACGAACCCUUUUUGCCUCGGGGGUGGAGCGUCCGUCGCCGGUCGCCGCCCCCGGAGGACCACCCAACGCUGUCUCUUUGCGUCGGAGUAUCGAUGGAAUAAAUGAAAACUUUCAACAACGGAUCUCUUGGUUCUGGCAUCGAUGAAGAACGCAGCGAAAUGCGAUAAGUAAUGUGAAUUGCAGAAUUCAGUGAAUCAUCGAAUCUUUGAACGCACAUUGCGCCCUCUGGCAUUCCGGGGGGCAUGCCCGUUCGAGCGUCAUUAAAUCCAAUCAAGCCUGGCUUGGUAUUGGGCGUCGGGACGUCCCCGCGCCCGAAUUUCACCGGCUGGCCGAGGACCGUCUUAGCGUUGUGACACACAAUCAUUCGCUUUCCGACGGGGUCGGGCAAGUCCAGCCGUUAAACGCAACGAAUUUCUCGCGAAAUUCGAUUAAGGUCGACCUCGGAUCGGGUAGGAAUACCCGCUGAACUUAAGCAUAUCAAUAAGCGGAGGA